Molecule: ribosomal RNA, 499 nt
Filed under: uncultured bacterium
Lineage: Bacteria
Description: bacterial SSU rRNA
Rfam family: Bacterial small subunit ribosomal RNA
Source: RNAcentral
CAGGAUGAACGCUAGCGACAGGCUAACACAUGCAAGUCGAGGGGCAGCAUAAAAGUAGCAAUACUUGGUGGCGACCGGCGCACGGGUGAGUAACGCGUAUGCAACCUACCUAUCAGAGGGGAAUAACCCGGCGAAAGUCGGACUAAUACCGCAUAAAACAGGGGCACCGCAUGGUGAUAUUUGUUAAAGAAAUUCGCUGAUAGAUGGGCAUGCGUUCCAUUAGGUAGUUGGUGAGGUAACGGCUCACCAAGCCGACGAUGGAUAGGGGAACUGAGAGGUUGGUCCCCCACACUGGUACUGAGACACGGACCAGACUCCUACGGGAGGCAGCAGUGAGGAAUAUUGGUCAAUGGGCGAGAGCCUGAACCAGCCAAGUCGCGUGAAGGAAGAAGGAUCUAUGGUUCGUAAACUUCUUUUGCAGGGGAAUAAAGUGCAGGACGUGUCCUGUUUUGUAUGUACCCUGAGAAUAAGGAUCGGCCAACUCCGUGCCAGCCGCCGC